Pan troglodytes (chimpanzee) is the source of this 930-nucleotide long non-coding RNA. RefSeq lists it as uncharacterized. NCBI's taxonomy places the organism in Eukaryota, Metazoa, Chordata, Mammalia, Primates, Hominidae. The transcript has 4 exons. The record is from RefSeq and is a predicted model, not a curated record.
UAGAGAAGGAGACACAUUUGUGCGAUAUUUAGGAAGCAAAAUUGUAGGGCAGGAAUGGAUCUGAAGUCAAUGAAAAAUUCUUCAUAGCUCUAGUUGUUGGGCUUCCCCAGAAGAUGACACUGAAAGGAAGGUUUGGAUGCAAGUUGUUCAUUUAGGAGGAGAUCUCAGGAAGCACAAAGUAUUUCCUUGGGUCAGGACCUCCAAGUCCUCCCCUAACUGUGGGCAAGUCUUAUGUGGUGCACCUGAAGCAGCCCUCCAGAUUGGAGAAUGUUUCCAUAAGUCUCAUUGAGCCACUGUGCCUUCUCCAGGUAGAAACAGCCUUCUGUCUCAUGACUGACACCCUUCCUUGGUUCCUGUCAUCUGUAGCCAGGUAUGCUGGGUGCUGGAGAGAGCCCUGGACUUGGAGUCAAAAGACUGCAGUUGGAGCAGAGGAUCUUCCCUCAGAAGUUCUGCUGUGGGCUGAGUCGUUUCACCUCUCUGGGCCCCAUAUGGACCUUUGUAAAACUGAGUGGAGGCGAGGAGGUGCAGCAGGUCCAUAAAUUCAUCAGCUUCCCAGGCUGCUUCCACCUUUGCUACAUGUGGCCUCAUCCUUACAGCCCAAGAUGGCUCCUAGGGCUCUAGCCAUCACAUCCUGGUACCAGAGAGCAAGAUGACUGAAGGGGAGGAAAGAGAGCAUGUGCUUGUCUCGUGAAGAGAUUUCCUGGAAGUUACACAAAACAUUUCUGUUUUCAGCUUGUUGACUAGAACAUAGUCGUCUGUCAUACUUAGUGUGGAGGGUGACCAAAGAGGGAGUGUUUUGUCUGAAUAGCAUUGCAUCCAGCCAGAUAGCGAGGGCAAGUAGCUGGAGGGAAGAGGAAGACAGACAUUGUAGAGGAAGCUAGCAGUGACUCCCCCCAAGAUUAUAUCCUAUUAAUAAAAGUAAGAACCUAA